Hydra vulgaris (swiftwater hydra) is the source of this 975-nucleotide non-coding RNA. The record is from RefSeq and is a predicted model, not a curated record. NCBI's taxonomy places the organism in Eukaryota, Metazoa, Cnidaria, Hydrozoa, Anthoathecata, Hydridae.
CUUUUGAACAAAACGACGAAAGAUAAUAGCUGAUGUUGAAUAUUGCCUAAAAGAUCUUACCAUUAAAUCAAGCAAUAUUUCACAUUCACCAGAAGAAGUACAAUCAUUGUAUUUAAAAAGUAUAUCGAAAACUUUCAACUGAGAGUGCUGUUCCCUAAGGUGCAAAUAAUAUUGAUUGUGAAGUGAACUCUGACAGUAAUCUAUUGAUAUUAAAUAUUGGCAUUAGACAAGAUAAUAGCUUUGGCAAGUAAAGGAGGCCAGACUUUAAAGGAGGCUGUCCAGAGAAUGUCCUUUGCGUUAUUCACUAACAACCUCUGCUGUAAACUUAACUGGUCUGGUAUUACCAUAAAUGACAAUGAAAGUAACUUUGUAAAACAAAGACUUACACUUGCUUAAAAGAGCUGUAAAAAGAAAUCCUGCAACAACUUCAGCAACUGAAUCAGAUUUUCAAUAUGAGGUUGUGCGUUUUUUGCGUGGUGCAUCAGAUCGCAAUGGCAGAAAAAAAGUUAGACAAGACCAAAAAAACAAACAAGCCAAGAAAAUGAUGCCUACAUCAAGUUUUCCAAUGCCAUUGAAUAAUUUAGUUCAGAAGAUGAAUAACAUUGCUAAUUAAAAUAAGCAUCUUUAAUUACAUAUUUGUUAUCUUUAUUUUACAAUAUUUUAUAUAUUUUUAAACUCAAUAGAGUAAAGUUUUUUUGUGUAAUGAGUAUUAUUGAUCUGUGUUUUUCAUAUUCAUUCUUUUUACAGUAACCUUUUGUAUAUGAGAUUGUAGAUGAGAAUUUAAAUCGUGAUAUUGAAUCUUACCAGAGAAUAAAGAAACCGUUUACCUCAACCAGAGUUAUAUUUCAUAGAAUUAUGUUGACCAUGAUCCAAAUAUUGCCAUGGGUAUAAGAUAGAUAUUUGAUUUGCAAACUGGAUUUAAAUCAUAUUUUCUUUAAACAUAUUUAUUUGCUCUUUAUAUACUUACAAAUAAUU